UACAGAGGUCCCAAGCGUUGUUCGGAUUCAUUGGGCGUAAAGGGUGCGUAGGCGGCGCGGUAAGUCGGGUGUGAAAUCUCGGGGCUUAACUCCGAAACUGCAUUCGAUACUGCCGUGCUUGAGGACUGGAGAGGAGACUGGAAUUUACGGUGUAGCGGUGAAAUGCGUAGAUAUCGUAAGGAAGACCAGUGGCGAAGGCGGGUCUCUGGGCCGGUACUGACACUGAGGAGCGAAAGCGUGGGUAGCAAACAGG
RNAcentral lists this ribosomal RNA (253 nucleotides) under uncultured bacterium. RNAcentral describes it as "partial 16S ribosomal RNA". It matches the Rfam family "Bacterial small subunit ribosomal RNA", at positions 524 to 776 of the family's 1533-position model. The record is from RNAcentral.